RNAcentral lists this ribosomal RNA (120 nucleotides) under Castor canadensis (American beaver). The record is from RNAcentral. Lineage: Eukaryota; Metazoa; Chordata; Mammalia; Rodentia; Castoridae.
GUCUAUGGCCAUAGCACCCUGAAUGUGCCUGAUCUCAUCUGGUCUUGGAAGCUAAGCAGGGUCGGGCCUGAUUAGUACUUGGAUGGAAGACAGAUCUUCAGAAAAGACUGCUCAGAGACA